RNAcentral lists this ribosomal RNA (102 nucleotides) under Pteropus alecto (black flying fox). Lineage: Eukaryota; Metazoa; Chordata; Mammalia; Chiroptera; Pteropodidae. RNAcentral also lists the same sequence under 1 other name. The record is from RNAcentral.
GUCUACGGCCAUGCUACCCUGAACAAGCCCGAUCCUGUCUGAUCUCAGAAGCUAAGCAGGGUCAGAUGGGAGACCACCUUGGAAUACCAGGUGUUGUAGGCA